Molecule: non-coding RNA, 74 nt
Organism: Podarcis lilfordi (Lilford's wall lizard)
Lineage: Eukaryota; Metazoa; Chordata; Lepidosauria; Squamata; Lacertidae
Source: the annotation of a GenBank genome assembly
GCCUGGAUAGUUCAGGUGGUUAGAACAUGGUGCUACUAACACCAAGGUUGCAGGUUCCAUCCCCAUCUGGGAUA